CGAAUUAAGAAAUGUAAUUUAAAUAGAAGAUGAAGCAUAAUUAAAAAUGUACGAAUAUGAAUCAAAAUAAAGGUGCUCUUUAAGGAAGUAAUUACAGUACAGGUAUAUGAAAAAAUAUAUGUAUUUUGUCUAUUGUUCUAUGUUAUUUGUUCAGUUUUGUUUAAUAUCGCACAAUUGAAAAUAAAAUAGUCUUACAUUCUUUACAACCAUUUUCUAUGAUGGCACAGAGUAUGAUGUUGUAAAUGUACCGUCCAUAGAUGGCGGGACAGUCGGACGUCACGAAGAAAAUAAUGGGUUUUAAAGAGAGUUUAUUGUCCCUUCUCCCUAACCCUCAGACCUCAGUGAAGGGACGCCGGGGUGGAGGUUGUCCCACCAGCCAACUGCACUAAUAUCACUUAAGAAGUUACGAAAACACUUGUAUCAGCCUCUACAUACAACAAUAAGAACCACAUAACAUCACAUCAUCUUACUGUUUACUGGAGGAGCCACCAAGAACAGCUCAGACGGCUAACAAUGCUGUUGACUGAAGUCCUCUAUAAACUUCACAGAGUGACGGUAGAAAUAGAAAACAUCACUACAGAGAGGAUGAGAACCAUAACUUGGUUUCCAGAUGACACAGCACAAUCAAGAAAAAUGAUCAAGACUACAGAAAAAGAUGAAUCUGCCCUAAAUAAGUGUAUCUACCCAACACGACUGGAUUUGUUUUCCCCAAAGACAUUAGCCCACUUACUGACCCACAUUGGGGCCUGAUGGGGUGAAAAUAAGAAG
Homarus americanus (American lobster) is the source of this 768-nucleotide long non-coding RNA. RefSeq lists it as uncharacterized. The record is from RefSeq and is a predicted model, not a curated record. The transcript is spliced from 3 exons. NCBI's taxonomy places the organism in Eukaryota, Metazoa, Arthropoda, Malacostraca, Decapoda, Nephropidae.